Pan troglodytes (chimpanzee) is the source of this 2234-nucleotide long non-coding RNA. RefSeq lists it as uncharacterized. NCBI's taxonomy places the organism in Eukaryota, Metazoa, Chordata, Mammalia, Primates, Hominidae. The record is from RefSeq and is a predicted model, not a curated record. The transcript is spliced from 5 exons.
GUAUUUGGUUAUUUAAAAGAAGAGGGGGAGGUAAAACGUAAGAAGGCCAGAGCACCUGGGACCUUGUUUUACUAAAGCUUAUUAUGUUUCAGUGGCCCUGGUUCCCCAUGACAAAAGUACAAAGAGUACCCGCAAGAAGUAAGUUGAAGAUAAGGAGUGAGGAGAAGGAAGGUUAGUGGUAAGGCCACCAGUGAUUCUAACAGCAAAGGGACAAGAAAAAAGACUGGAACUUUAUUUAGAGGAUAAAGCUGAUGCUUGGCUUGCCCUCUUGCCCAGAUGGGACCUCAGGCAUAGGUUCCUAACUGUGAAUAUCCUGAUUUUGAAGAAAACAAUAGAUUAAUUGCAACUGCUGGCAGCUUUCACUUGACCUUGCAAAGGUUACAAUUAUCCAGAAAUCUCAUACCUAUGAGGGAAGCCAACUUCUGUGUCAUGAGGACAUUCAAGCAGCACUAUGGAGCCGUCCACGUGGCUAGGAGCUGAAACUGAGCCAAGAAGCAGUGAGGAACUGGCUGGUAACAGCCAUGUGGGAAGAAAUUGUGUUUUGGAAUUGGGCCAACAGUAUGUGUUUCUCCGGUGGAUAAGCAAAAUUUCAUAAGAACAAAGAUGAUUCAAGCAGAUGUUUAUCAUGAAACUGCCAUAAAAAGCACCCGAAGUCACAAAGAUAAACAUCAAAUCCAGUCUUUGGAAAUUCCCCCACCCUACCUGAGCAUCUUUUGAAGUAGAUAUUCAAUUAUUUUGAGGAUUUUUAAAGAAUUUUCUGGAUUUCAUCUAAAAGACACUUUUGAAAUCUUCGUUAAAAUUCAUGGAAAUAUAUCCUAGAUGAAUUUGGAGGAAUGUAAGCAAGUAGGUGCAAACCUUUAUUUUAUCCCUCAGUGACUCACUCAGUUGUGAAUAGGAAGGGCUCUCUGUGAUCUGGCCACAGCUUAUUUCUUGCCACAUUCCUAUUUUCAGUCUUCUUCCAAUCAUGUGGAACUUCCAGCAUCUCCUUACACAUGCCAUUUUAUUUCACACUUUUGUGACUUUGCUCAUAUUUUUCUCUCUCCCUGGAAAGCUCCCCGACAACCUCCACUGCCAUUACCCACUAGGCAAGUACAUCCUGUUUUCAGAAUCAGCCCAAUAUCAUCUUUCCUAGGGAAUCUUGUCAGACUGCCCUUCAUUACCAACAGACAAAAUAACUACCUUAUCUUUGGUUCUGUCUUCACUCUAGACCUAUGUAGCAUGCUACUUAUAACACUGCAUUGGUUUGUUGGCAUUUGUAUUUUCCACUGAGCAACCAUAACUUAUGUGUAGACAAAAAUUGUAUUGCUCACCUUUGGAUUACUAGGACCUAGCAGUGUUGUGAUUCAGAGUAUGUACUCAAUAAAUUCAUCUUGAAAAGUGAAUGAAUGAAUAAAUGAACACCUGUAUCUCCAUCAUUGAUUUACUAUUUAAUCAGUGAAGUUUUUAAAUUAUAUUCUCCCAUAUCUUGAGAUUUGAUCUUGUGUUAAAUCAGUUGCACAUAUUAGACAUUACUUUGUCCUUUUCACUUCUCCUUAGCACAUAUGGGCUAUAUAAUCUUUAUAAAGGUUAAAGAAAUAUAUUGUAAUAUGUUAUAACACAAUCAAGAUACAUCUGAAACAACAUAGUGCAGGCACUAUUUCCGAUGUUCAACAUCAUGCUGGAGUAAAACUUAGAGAAUCUUGGAAAAAAGAAAUACUUAAAUAAUGUCACCAGUGUAAUGUGCUACAUUGUAAUGGUGUUAUGCUUAUUACAUGUGUUAUCUAGUAACGCACAAAAAGCCUAACGGAUUUGCUCAUAUUUUCCUCAUGUGCAAAUGAAAACACUGAGUCUCAGAGAGAUUAAAUAAAUUGCCAAAUGUCAUGUCAAGCGAUUUUGAUCCUGGUAUUUCUAAUAUAAAAGCCCAUGUUUUAAUUUAUUAACUGUUUGACAUAUAACAAUAAUAGAUCAUUACAUGUUAAUAUAAAUAACCUAUGUAUGAAGACUAAUUAUAUUUUUACUUCUGCAUUCAAUCAACUGCAACAUGUCAUUUUGGUUGAUGUAUACAGAAAAUACUCAACAUCUCGCAGAUAUUGGGUUGGAAAACAGAGGACAUUUUUAUAUCUGUUUCAGAUAAAUGUAUAUAUUUUUCUUUGAUAGUACACCAAAAUUUGACAAGUGACUAUUUCUUAAAGGGUAGUUGCAGCAUGAAAUCCAAAAUAACAUCAAUAAACUUUUCAUUCUCUGUUACACUAAAA